AUAAAAAUGAAGUUCAACUUGUCUUAAUAUAUUCUAUCAGGCAAAAGAAACAAAUUCCCCAGGGAGGGGUAGUCCAGCUGCUGCCACUCCUGGAGUGAGCCUGUGGACAGUCUCUCCAGCCAGAGGCCACCGGAGGAACUUCGGGAGGGCAGGAGGCUCCUUCUGCAGCACCACGUCGUUUCUUCCCCAGGCUUGCUUUUUCUGUUUGAUGUGCUGGUGGACGGACAGCCAUGUGACCGCGAGGCUGCGGCGGCCUGCCAGGUGGGCGACCCUGUGCGCCUGGAGGUGCGGCUGACCAACCGGAGCCCGCGCAGCGUAGGGCCCUUCGCCCUCACCGUGGUCCCCUUCCAGGACCACCAGAAUGGCGUGCACAACUACGACCUGCACGACACCAUCUCCUUCGUGGGCUCCAGCACCUUCUACCUCGACGCAGUGCAGCCGUCCGGCCAGUCGGCCUGCCUCGGGGCCCUCCUCUUCCUCUACACGGGAGACUUCUUCCUCCACAUCCGGUUCCACGAGGACAGCACCAGCAAGGAGCUGCCACCCUCUUGGUUCUGCCUGCCCAGCGUGCACGUGCGCGCCCUGGAGGCGCAGGCCUGAGCCCGCCCACUUCCGUCCCUCUUUCUGCAGGGCCAGAGGUGACCCUGCCUGGCCUCUUACACCCC
This 665-nucleotide small RNA is filed under the name Pongo abelii (Sumatran orangutan). RNAcentral's name for it is "processed transcript". Lineage: Eukaryota; Metazoa; Chordata; Mammalia; Primates; Hominidae. The record is from RNAcentral.